Non-coding RNA from Pelodiscus sinensis (Chinese soft-shelled turtle), 1463 nucleotides. NCBI's taxonomy places the organism in Eukaryota, Metazoa, Chordata, Testudines, Trionychidae. The record is from RefSeq and is a predicted model, not a curated record.
CGCGCACUUGUGGCCCCUUCGCUUUGCUGUUGGUUGAGGCGUUUGGGUGCAGAGGGACCCCCAGGCUGUAGUCAAGGGGUUUGGAGUGUGGGCUAGGGAUGCUAAGGACUGCAGGGCAGUGACUAGCCUGGUCCCCGCCCCCUUGCUGCCUAUCAGGUAGACGCAGCAAGCGGGGAGAACAGGCGGGUACUUCCAAGUGAUCGCGCUACACAGAGCCAGGGUCACCUGCUCCUGGAGGCAUUUCAAAGCGGCAGCGCUGCUUGGCCCAUGGGGUCAGCUGGGGGCUCUUGCUACACUUCAAAGGUGGAGGUGCCCUAUUGACUAAUCGAAUCGUCAAUGCAAAAAUGCAUCGACUAUUCAAUUAGUCAAUGACUUGAUAAUGAACACCGUUAUCGUGGGGGGGGCGGAGCAUAGGGCAAGAGGCUGAGCAGGAGUUUGGGUGUGGGAUGGGGCUGGAAGGCAUUAGGACUUAGUGUGUGGGAAGUACAGUAUUGUAUUUUCUGAACUAAAAAUGGGGACACAUUAAUCUUGCCCCUGGCCCCUUAGGCCCUACCCACCUGACACAGGAAGCCCCACGCUUGGGGGUAGUAUUUCCGGGGUCAAGAUAGGUGACGUGUGAACCCCUCUAAAAACUCCUCCCACCAUCCUCUACCAAUAGGGAUGGUUUUGGGCCCCAUAGGACAGCUCCCCUCCCCCAUGCAACUAUACUGCAAUUGCAUUAACCCAGGCCCCAGACCUAGUGUCCCAUCACUCUGCAGUGCUAAGGGUCCAACCUCGAUUUAAGAAGAGAUGCAGGAUAUGAGACCUAUUACUGUUAGAUGCAGCCCCAUUUGACUCACGGCCUAGGAAUCAUCCAGAACUAUCCCACAAUUAAAUGGGACAACUUCCUUUGUCUUCUUAAUGGAUGAUGCUUCCUGGUUCCAAUUAACUGGUAAUCAGAGGGGUCUGGAGCCGCUCCCCACUUGCUACUCCAGCCCCACAGAGGGCCCUAAAGAGUUGCUCUAGUCAAGAACAGGCCCUGUCUGGGGAUUCUGAGGGCCCGCAGGCAGGGACUGCCUGUGGUGUCCAGAGCAGCUUCUCUCCAAGUAGAGUCCAGCCUUCUGUGGACAGAGGCUAUGCUGGAGGGGGCUGGGAGCUAACAUUAAUCAGUAAACUGAUUAAUGGGAAUUCACAUCCCUCAUGAAAUGUACUGCAACUGCAUUUUUUGAAGUUACUGCAAAACUAUCACGUGUUCUCUGUUUCCACAAGCCAGAAUGACAAUACUGAACUAACCAUGACAAUUACAGGGGAGAGAAGACCUUGUCACUAACCCUUACCACCACAGCUUGAAAGCUCUGACAUGAAAAAGGUGGCUUACUGGAACAUCGAAGGUGACAUGGUAUACAAGAUUGCAGCAAGCUGUCAAAAUACUCAUUUUUGAAGCAAUGUUGAGCCAUCAGGUCAGUAAUUCGUGAACUAGGAAG